This 738-nucleotide unclassified non-coding RNA is filed under the name Daphnia pulex (common water flea). RNAcentral describes it as "neurotrophin 1-like, transcript variant X3". Lineage: Eukaryota; Metazoa; Arthropoda; Branchiopoda; Diplostraca; Daphniidae. The record is from RNAcentral.
UCUGCUGACCGCAGCUUCCGGCCGCCAAAAAUCACGUCGGAGUGGCCAUCGAUUCGAAGUCUACUUUGCCUGUGUUGGUAGGGCUUUUAUUUCAUCGAUACACAUUUUAUAAUUUAUGAAGAAGCUCAUCAAUUGUAGUUGAAAGAUUAAACUUAGAAUUGCUACCAGUGUAGUGAGCAUUUGCAACACAAUUUCGGGCAACUUAUGUAGAAAUGAGCCAUGGUUCUUUCACCUGCAUUGGAUUUUCACAAUCUUUCCAUACUGAAAGAGAGACUCUACAGGCUUCCCAAUAACGGUGUGACUGUUGCAGUCGUUUCUACUUGAUGAAGAAUCCAGUGAAUAGCCAGUGUCUGAUGAAGGGGACCCAAGCAAGAUUAUCCCGAAAGAAAUGGAGAAACAUAGACCCAAGUCAACAGUGAAAAGGAAUGUCCCAGAUAUUUACACCCCUGAUAUUGCUACGCCAUCAAAACAAAACGUUUAUCAGCAUUCACUUAUACUGGAGAACAAUGUGUUGAUAUUUUACUACAACUGCAUCUGAAUUUGAAAGAAGUUCUCCACGCGGACGACCGUUCGACCGAGAAGUCAUCGUCGAAGAUUUUACACAAAGGUGAAAAGCUCCAACGACGCAUCCGCACGAUCCGGGCAACUUGAAUUUUUCAAUGGCGAAAGGGAAGGUGUAGUCUUUUGGGUUGUAGACCAAGAAGCGAUGGAAAAUAUUUUUCUGGACGCACUUGGACU